This 371-nucleotide ribosomal RNA is filed under the name Sulfitobacter sp. Asnod1E01. RNAcentral's name for it is "bacterial SSU rRNA". It matches the Rfam family "Bacterial small subunit ribosomal RNA", at positions 405 to 793 of the family's 1533-position model. The record is from RNAcentral. Lineage: Bacteria; Pseudomonadati; Pseudomonadota; Alphaproteobacteria; Rhodobacterales; Roseobacteraceae.
GUGAUGAAGGCCUUAGGGUCGUAAAGCACUUUCGCCAGAGAUGAUAAUGACAGUAUCUGGUANAGAAACCCCGGCUAACUCCGUGCCAGCAGCCGCGGUAAUACGGAGGGGGUUAGCGUUGUUCGGAAUUACUGGGCGUAAAGCGUACGUAGGCGGAUCAGAAAGUAGGGGGUGAAAUCCCAGGGCUCAACCCUGGAACUGCCUCCUAAACUCCUGGUCUUGAGUUCGAGAGAGGUGAGUGGAAUUCCAAGUGUAGAGGUGAAAUUCGUAGAUAUUUGGAGGAACACCAGUGGCGAAGGCGGCUCACUGGCUCGAUACUGACGCUGAGGUACGAAAGUGUGGGGAGCAAACAGGAUUAGAUACCCUGGUAG